This 242-nucleotide ribosomal RNA is filed under the name uncultured Pseudomonas sp. RNAcentral describes it as "partial 16S ribosomal RNA". It matches the Rfam family "Bacterial small subunit ribosomal RNA", at positions 111 to 355 of the family's 1533-position model. The record is from RNAcentral. Lineage: Bacteria; Pseudomonadati; Pseudomonadota; Gammaproteobacteria; Pseudomonadales; Pseudomonadaceae.
UAAUGCCUAGGAAUCUGCCUGGUAGUGGGGGACGAACGUUUCGAAAGGAACGCUAAUACCGCAUACGUCCUACGGGAGAAAGCAGGGACCUUCGGGCCUUGCGCUAUCAGAUGAGCCUAGGUCGGAUUAGCUAGUUGGUGAGGUAAUGGCUCACCAAGGCGACGAUCCGUAACCGGUCUGAGAGGAUGAUCAGUCACACUGGAACUGAGACACGGUCCAGACUCCUACGGGAGGCAGCAGCA